AAAAAUUAGAGUCACCGUUCAUCGACAAUCGAACAUUCAACCCUUCUUUGCUGCGACGAACAAUAAAACACCGUCGUCGUCCGAAAAUUAAUCAAAAAUAUUGUCUCGAUUAAAUUCGCCAUGAAUCGAUCACGUCGGUUCAGUUUAUUCUCUUGCGUAUUGUUCUUGACUGUCGUGACAACUUCGAAUGCGUUACCUAAUCUGAGUCGGAUUGUGGGAGGAGUGACGGCUGCGGAUGGCGCAUUUCCUUGGCAGGUGAUACUCCGAUCAUCGGGUGUAUUUUUCUGCGGAGGAACAAUCGUCACCGAUCGCCACGUUGUCUCUGCAGCUCAUUGUUUUUCGGACACAAGUAGUAAAAGUGUUAAUAACUUGGCGGUGAUCAGCGGGACGAAUAGUUUGGAUAACGGAGGCCAGGCUCACGCUGUCGCUAAGAUAACGAAACACCCGAAGUACAUCGGAAAGACCGACUUUUGGAAAUACGAUGUCGCGGUUCUAACGCUCAGGGCUCCGAUCGCAAUAACACCCCUGCAAUCGCCGAUUCCUCUGGCUAGAAGGGAUCCCCCGGCAGGCGCACGUGCGAUCGUUAGCGGAUGGGGGCAAACUAUGGAUUCGAAUUACAACUUACCAUCGAGACUUCAAUACUUCACCCCGAAUAUAAUAAGUAACACCAAGUGCGAGAGCACCCUGAGGUCACAAGUGGCCCGGGUUCAUAUUUGCGCGCAUGAAAAUAGAGCAGGUGGAGUCUGUAUGGGGGACAGUGGCGGUCCUCUAGUUUACGAUGGAAAACUAGUCGGCAUUGUGUCCUGGGGGCAGCGCCCUUGCGCUUCCCUUCCCGACGCCUACACCAGAAUAACUUUGGUAUUGGAUUUCAUCGAAGAUGUCAUCAGGAAAUAAUGACGUGCAAUUUUAUGUGCAUCCGACAGGAGUUUUCAGCCUGGAAGACAGCGGAGAAGAAGGAGUAGUGUAAUUUGUAGCCCGUUAAAUCUAAAUUAUCAGGAACGAUCUUUCAGCAGUUGUGGAUGCACUGCUCGUGGAGAUCGCAGGUUGCGUGUCGCGUGGGAAUGGGCAUUCGAGUCCGUGAUGAAUUCAGCGAAAACAAACGAGUUUUGGUCAUGCAGCGAUGGAAAAUUAUGCAACGAUUACGCUGCGCUCUGAAAUUCCAUUGGGGUACCAACUUUAUGACGGCUUCGUGACCCCAUAUUUCAUCGCCCGGGAUGAGAUCUUUUUGUAUAACCUUAUAUUAUACUAUAAACGACG
This is an RNA transcript of Athalia rosae (coleseed sawfly), 1257 nucleotides long. It is a transcript of the gene named trypsin delta-like, with no coding region annotated. The transcript is spliced from 5 exons. The record is from RefSeq and is a predicted model, not a curated record. NCBI's taxonomy places the organism in Eukaryota, Metazoa, Arthropoda, Insecta, Hymenoptera, Athaliidae.